AAAAAAUAGUGGCCUUAUCUUGCAGCAAAACACUCUAUGCAACAAGGAAUCCCUGAUAUAUUUAAAAUCUUUACUGCUGAGGAGUUGAGAAAGGCCACCGAUAACUGUGAUGAGAGCACCAUAGUUGGCAUGCAGAGGAGGCUUUGUAAAGGGAUUUUAUCGGAUAACGGAGAAGUUGCGAUCAAGGAGUCGAUAAGAUUUAUAAGGUAUUUUAUAAAAUUUACGUUGGAAUUUGGUUAAAAUCAUAAUUAUAUCCUUGCGUUUUGAAUUUUAAACAAAAUUGUCCCUAAACUUUAAUUUCAUCUACAAAAAGCUGCAAAUUCAAGAUAUUGGUCAUGGAU
Molecule: unclassified non-coding RNA, 341 nt
Filed under: Hevea brasiliensis (rubber tree)
Lineage: Eukaryota; Viridiplantae; Streptophyta; Magnoliopsida; Malpighiales; Euphorbiaceae
Source: RNAcentral